Small nuclear RNA from Euleptes europaea (tarantolino), 141 nucleotides. RefSeq annotates it as U4 spliceosomal RNA. Lineage: Eukaryota; Metazoa; Chordata; Lepidosauria; Squamata; Sphaerodactylidae. The record is from RefSeq and is a predicted model, not a curated record. The transcript has a single exon.
AUCUUUGCGCAGUGGCAAUAUCGUAGCUAGUGAGGCUGAACCGAGGCGCGAUUAUUGCUAGUUGAAAACUUUUCCCAAUGCCCCGCCGCAGUUGCUUGAAAUAUAGUGAUGGCUGGCAGUUUUUGAUGGUCUCUACGGAGA